This 71-nucleotide transfer RNA is filed under the name Marmota monax (woodchuck). Its description in RNAcentral is "tRNA.Val". It matches the Rfam family "tRNA". From Rfam's summary of the family: Transfer RNA (tRNA) molecules are approximately 80 nucleotides in length. Their secondary structure includes four short double-helical elements and three loops (D, anti-codon, and T loops). The record is from RNAcentral. Lineage: Eukaryota; Metazoa; Chordata; Mammalia; Rodentia; Sciuridae.
GGGGUUGUGGCUCAGUGGUAGAGUGCUUACCUCACAUGUGUGAGGCACUGAGUUCAAUUCUCAGCACCACA